CGAAGGUGGGGCUGAUGACUGGGGUGAAGUCGUAACAAGGUAGCCGUACCGGAAGGUGCGGCUGGAUCACCUCCUAACAGGGAGACAAAACUGAUUGUGAUGUCUGAUUAAAAUAUUUAGACCACGAUCCUGUCACCUUAGGUCGAUCGGUAUCUCAGCUUGAAGUCUAAAAAUAUGAGAAAUCAUUAUUUGAGGAUUUCAUUUUCAGUUCCUAAACUUGUCUAGGUCACACCCAACAUUCAUUCUUCUGGGCUAUUAGCUCAGGUGGUUAGAGCGCACCCCUGAUAAGGGUGAGGUCCCUGGUUCAAGUCCAGGAUGGCCCAUUCGUUGUUGGGGGUAUAGCUCAGUUGGUAGAGCGCCUGCUUUGCAAGCAGGAUGUCAGCGGUUCGAGUCCGCUUACCUCCACUGAUCAACUACCUAAUAACUCAUUAAAAACAAUGGAGAUUGUUUGUGUUGGAUAAGACUUAGAUGUUGUUCAUCUGAAUGACCCUAGCUUCAUGUCAUUCCUUGCUAUUCACUAAGUGAGGCUGAUAAGACGCUGGGCUCACUGAAUUUUCUUUUAGAGUUCAGUUUAGUUCAGUAGAACCUUGACAACUGCAUAGGAAAGUCUGGAAAAGAUAAAGCAUCUCAUGGAUGCAUUUAUUCUUGGCUGUUUAUUUAAUAGUUUAAGUUUAGAUGUUUGAUUCUUGAGCUAGAGCAAAGACAUUUGGAAUUAAAAGAUUGAUUAUCUUCUGAUAUUUCCUUCUAAUUAAUUUCAACUAGUCUGUAUUAAUAGAAUAGAAUAAUGGUCAAGCUACAAAGGGCUCACGGCGG
This 813-nucleotide unclassified non-coding RNA is filed under the name uncultured Prochlorococcus sp. Its description in RNAcentral is "partial may contain 16S ribosomal RNA, 16S-23S ribosomal RNA intergenic spacer, and 23S ribosomal RNA". The stretch from base 333 to 405 matches the Rfam family "tRNA". Lineage: Bacteria; Bacillati; Cyanobacteriota; Cyanophyceae; Synechococcales; Prochlorococcaceae. The record is from RNAcentral.